CCUACGGGCGGCAGCAGUGAGGAAUAUUGGUCAAUGGACGAGAGUCUGAACCAGCCAAGUAGCGUGAAGGAUGACUGCCCUAUGGGUUGUAAACUUCUUUUAUAUGGGAAUAAAACGUUCCACGUGUGGGAUUUUGUAUGUACCAUAUGAAUAAGGAUCGGCUAACUCCGUGCCAGCAGCCGCGGUAAUACGGAGGAUCCGAGCGUUAUCCGGAUUUAUUGGGUUUAAAGGGAGCGUAGGUGGAUUGUUAAGUCAGUUGUGAAAGUUUGCGGCUCAACCGUAAAAUCGCAGUUGAAACUGGCAGUCUUGAGUACAGUAGAGGUGGGCGGAAUUCGUGGUGUAGCGGUGAAAUGCUUAGAUAUCACGAAGAACUCCGAUUGCGAAGGCAGUUCACUGGACUGCAACUGACACUGAGGCUCGAAAGUGUGGGUAUCAAACAGGAUUAGAUACCCGUGUAGUC
Molecule: ribosomal RNA, 460 nt
Filed under: uncultured bacterium
Lineage: Bacteria
Description: partial 16S ribosomal RNA
Rfam family: Bacterial small subunit ribosomal RNA
Source: RNAcentral